This 337-nucleotide unclassified non-coding RNA is filed under the name soil metagenome. Its description in RNAcentral is "partial contains 5.8S ribosomal RNA, internal transcribed spacer 2, and large subunit ribosomal RNA". The stretch from base 1 to 121 matches the Rfam family "5.8S ribosomal RNA", at positions 35 to 154 of the family's 154-position model. The record is from RNAcentral.
GAUGAAGAACGCAGCGAAAUGCGAUAAGUAAUGCGAAUUGCAGAAUUCCAGUGAGUCAUCGAAUCUUUGAACGCACAUUGCGCCCGCCAGUAUUCUGGCGGGCAUGCCUGUUCGAGCGUCAUUUCAACCAUCAAGCCCCAGGCUUGUGUUGGGGACCUGCGGCUGCCGCAGGCCCUGAAAACCAGUGGCGGGCUCGCUGUCACACCGGGCGUAGUAGAUUUUAUCUCGCUCUGGGCGUGCUGCGGGUUCCGGCCGUUAAAAAACCCUUUUAACCCAAGGUAGACCUCGGAUCAGGUAGGAAUACCCGCUGAACUUAAGCAUAUCAAUAAGCGGAGGA